This 509-nucleotide unclassified non-coding RNA is filed under the name Hevea brasiliensis (rubber tree). Lineage: Eukaryota; Viridiplantae; Streptophyta; Magnoliopsida; Malpighiales; Euphorbiaceae. The record is from RNAcentral.
CGGAACAAUGGCUGCACAAAAUUCAUACAUGAAGCACAAAUAAAGACAAAUUAUUAAAUAAGAAAGAAACUGGCAUCAGAUUAUGGGCACUACGAUAGGUGCUACAGCCUUAAGUAAUCGAUCCAAUCACUAUAGUGCGACGAUAACAAAUGUAGAAAGCCUUCAUAAUUACAUAGAUUUGUCUCCACUAACCCAUAAGGUCAAGAAAGUUAACUGUAACUUUAGUUUCCGUUUUAUUAUUUCACCUUUUUGGUUUUUGCUGCACAAAUGAGUCUAAUGGCUUACAAAACAAGCACCAGCUACCCAUUUCCCUAAUAGGCUCAUCCAUACAAAAGAAAGAUAACAGAUGGAAAACCUGCUAGAAAAAUUUGCAAAGACUUAAAAUGGGAGUGCUAAAGGGGUCAAUAAGAAUGCUUAAUCCAUGACUCCUAAUCAGAGGUGGACUAAAAAGAAGGGUAACAUCUAAUUAAGAUGGACCCUCGACAUAUAGUUAUUAAUUCAGCUCACAG